RNAcentral lists this ribosomal RNA (691 nucleotides) under uncultured bacterium. Its description in RNAcentral is "bacterial SSU rRNA". It matches the Rfam family "Bacterial small subunit ribosomal RNA", at positions 94 to 765 of the family's 1533-position model. The record is from RNAcentral.
AGCGGCGCACGGGUGAGUAACGCGUGGGUAAUCUCCCUUGGUGACUGGGAUAACAGCGGGAAACUGCUGCUAAUACCGGAUAUACUUCAUGUUUAACUUCAUGGGGAAAAGGUGGCCUCUGCUUGCAAGCUACCACACCGAGAUGAGCCCGCGUCUCAUUAGCUAGUUGGUAAGGUAAUGGCUUACCAAGGCUACGAUGAGUAGCUGGUCUGAGAGGAUGACCAGCCACACUGGGACUGGAACACGGCCCAGACUCCUACGGGAGGCAGCAGUGGGGAAUAUUGCGCAAUGGGCGAAAGCCUGACGCAGCGACGCCUCGUGAGGGAUGAAGGUCUUCGGAUCGUAAACCUCUGUCAAGAGGGAAGAAACCUAAGGGUUCAAAUAGGGCUCUUAGCUGACGGUACCUCAAAAGGAAGCACCGGCUAACUCCGUGCCAGCAGCCGCGGUAAUACGGAGGGUGCAAGCGUUAAUCGGAAUCACUGGGCGUAAAGCGCUCGUAGGCUGUUCGGUAAGUCAGAUGUGAAAGCCCUCGGCUCAACCGGGGAACUGCAUUUGAUACUGCCAGACUUGAGUGUCGGAGAGGGUGGCGGAAUUCCGGGUGUAGGAGUGAAAUCCGUAGAUAUCCGGAGGAACACCAGUGGCGAAGGCGGCCACCUGGACGACAACUGACGCUGAGGAGCGAAAGCGUGGG